GCUCUGGCCGGGAGUCGACAGAGGGAGCGAGGGCAGGGAGCGCGCCCGUGCGUGCGCGCGCUCUCGCGACCGGACUAUCCGCCGCGGACACUCUUUCGCCCGCCUUACACUUCGAGCCUGGGCCCCGCUCAGCACCCUGGGCCCUUCCUAAGCGCCUCCCGCGCCGGCCCUCAGGGAUGCACAGAAAAAAAGAGGAAAGCAAAGGAAUAAACUACAAGCAAUUACACUCUACCAGGUACAGCAUUCACACCCCAAGCCUGACACUAGACUCUGCUGCUCCCUCUGGAAAUUGAUGUGGGCUUCAGUGCUGCUGCUGCCACAGCCAAAAUUGAGUCCCUGCAGUCUUGGCUUGUCCUGUGUCAUGCCAAGAGUCAACAGCAUCUGAAUGGUUGCACCUAGAUCACGUCUGAGCCCUAGCUGCAAGGGAGGCUGGGAAAGUGAGCAUCUGACGCCUAUGGAAUUGUUGGUCUCUGCCUCCUGUCAGUACUCAGGAGGUAGAGAAAUCCACAGCCAAGAGAUCACUUUAGAUGCUGGGUGAUGUCAAGGGUAACAGAAGGUGCAAAAAGGAUGACAAGUCCCCACUAGAACUUUCUUUCAAUACUCCUAAGCCCUAAUUAAGAGCUCCACUCAACAUGUAUCUAGGACAUGGCUGGAAAAAGCCUUGUGCUCAACUUUGAGAAGAAUUAAAUUAAAGGAAUGAUUACUAAGGGUGGGCAAGGUCUAGAGAACCACAAGAGACAGUGCAGCACUCCAGAACUGGCAACAGUAGGGAGCUUUCAACAUCCUGGGCCUGAAGAGGCAAGGGGAGGAAGCAUUUCCCAGAGCCAGAGGCAGGACUGCCUAACUGUGUGGAGAGAAUCAUUUAAAAUAAACGACCCAGCCCUGGGCACCUCCUCACCAAGAGGACAAGAGGAGCAAAUGCCACUCCUUCCUUUCCUGUGGUUCCCUGUUGAAGCUCCCCACCAGCCUGGCCAGAGACCAGAGGGCCAGGGAGCACAUGCAGGUAUGAGCUGCAGAAGAAGACUGGAGAGCAAAUGUGGAGAAAUAAACAGAAGAGGUUCUGCACUUACGGCUUCAUCGAUAUGUCACUGGCAUUUUUUCUUUUUUAAAUUCAGUAUCUCCUUUGGGGAUGUCCCUUUACAUUUUCAGUAGCUCAGCCCACAAGAUCAAUGGACUUAAAAUGUUCUUCUCAUCCUGAAUUUAACGAGAUGCUAUUUCCCCCUUGUUUGCUAUUUAGAAUGUUCUAUUGUAUGGUUCAACAAUCUGCACCAUUAAAGGUUAGCAAAUCCCAACCAGGACAUUUUUUUUCCCUUUCUGGGCUUGGGGAAAAAGGAGAAGAGGUGUGACCUGCACAGACAGCAUCAAAAAUCUCCUUUUCUGAAUCUUCCUGCAGAAAUCCUCUCUAUGUAUUGUCUCAGCACAGGAGAUUUCCUGUUGUUCAUCCCUGCCUCCUCCUCAUUAAUAUCCAGCCUUUUAAAUAAAGCAUGUACAAGAAUAGUCAAUAAAAUAAACCCCACAUGAUUACCAACAGUUGCAGGCCCAUGAGUUCCCCAAGGAUUCACCCACUGUAACCCCUCAUCCUUUGAAAGUACAUGAUAACUUGUGUUAGAGUAAUCAGUUAUUGGGCCAGGGAUUUAGCUCAGUGGUUCCAGUGCCUGCCUCCCAAGCACAAGCUCCUGAGUUUGAUCCCUGGUACCAAAAAAAAAAAGUCACCAGUUAUUUAGUUUGGGAAAGAAUACCAAGGGGAAACCUUCAUCAUCAUCUUCAAGUAUAUGAUGUGUUCCUUCCCAGAGUAUGGAAAGCAAGUGUUUUCCCUGUCCUCAAUCAAGGGAGUGAGUACAGCACGAGGAAUAAAAUAGAAAUAAAAUAAUAAAAUGGUUGCACUUUGAAACUACAAUGUUAAGUGAAAUAAAUCAGACACACAAACUUGAAUAUUGCAUAGUUUCUUUUAUGUGAGAAAUUCAAAAUUUAAAUAAAGAACAAAAUAACAGAUAAUAGGAAGAUAGAUCAUUCUCAAAUGGGAAGGGGAUUAAGAGAGAAGGAGAAGGAGGGGAGGAUGCUGAAAAAAUUAAGAUGUUUUAUGUAUGUGUACCAACUCCACACAAAAAUGUAAACAUUAUGUAUUACAAACAUACUAAUAAAAACUGAUGAAGAAAACAAGCCUACAGCUGGGCAAAAUCAUUAACCACAAAGCCUAUUUUGCAAUAAAAUGUUGAAUAUUUGCCAAAAAAUAACAUUAAUAAAAGUCUUACUUUAAAAUGCAAAUGAAACCAAAUGUGGCAGCACACACCUGUAGUCCCAGCCCUCUGAGCAACUGCAGCAGGAGGAUCACAAGUUUGAGUCCUGCCUGGGCAACUUAACAAGAGCCUGUCUCAAAACACAAAAUAAAAAAAGCUGAAGAUGUAGAAUAGUGCAAAGGCCCUAGGUUCAAACCCUAGUACUACCACUAAAAAAAAUUGCAAAUGACAGAGAAAUACACACAGCAAAGUUGACUUCUAUGCUCUGGAAGUUUGAGCUAAUUAUUUCUAAAAUUAUUCAGGUGCUUUCACAUUUACUACCUAAAUUUUCUUUUGUUGUUGCGAUUUUUGCCAUGGCAUUCACUAAAAUUUGUUUCUUUAAAUAUUUUUUCUUAGGCUUCAUGUUGCAUAUAAAUGUAAAUUUUUGUCAUGUAGAUUGUCUCGUUUAACUUCCCUCAAAUAUCCAGCUGGCAGCUGAAUACCUCAAUUUGGAUUUCCCACCAACAUGUGCCACACUUACAUGUGCAGUUCAGAACCAGCAUGUGCAAUGCCGUGGUACCUUGGUUCACAAACUUAAUGUGUUUUAUGAUUUGGGGGAAGAUGGCUGCGUUUGUGUUUGUGUGGGGAACAUGACCAUGGUUGUGUUACCCAAUGUGGAGUUUGUGAACAGAAGCAAAGUCUUAUGUUACCACUUGUACAAUUCCUCUAUGGUUGGCUAUCACCCUUGGGUUACUGAAAAGCAUGGCAUGGCAUUCAAAUCUUUGUCCCUCAUUGUUCGUCUUGCUCCCCAGCCCAUAUCUCAUUGCUUCAUGGACUCUGAUCACUCUGAGCCACUUGAUAUUCCAUACCACUCAUGGGGAGCCCACACAUAGACACCAACAUGCUUUUGCACACACUUUUCCCUCAGCCUGAGUUGUUCUCCAUCCCAUCUGGCCUGGAGACCUUCUCUUCACCCUUCUAGUCCAAACACAGUCACUCAUUGUGUACUUGCAUUGUUUCUUGUGCAAAUAAUAGGGCAGAACAUCUGGCCAAAGGCUCCUGAUGGUCCAGCUGAGAAGUAGUGCAGAAGACUAGAUGAUGGCCAGGGAAAUGGAGUGGGCAGAGUCUAGGGUGGUGAUGGCAAACCUUUUAGAGCUUUCAAUGAUAACAAACAGCUGGCUGCAGCAUGCAUGUCAUAGAUUCUCCUCCACUAGUCUAGGGCAUACUCUUUGUGUAGAGUUUUCUAGACCUUCUGAUGGGUUGGCUGUGGGGACAAGAGGAGAGAAGAAAUCCAAAUCAGAGCAGGCAGCUCCAUCAGCAGGAACAAAUUACAGGGAAAACUACACCCUGGGACCCAACUUCAGUAAUUAUCACCUCUGUGUCAGUCUUGUUCCUUUACACCCCAACCUCCUUCCUCCUGCUGCCCAGCCCCACCCACACAAUGGCUUAUUUUGAAGCAAGUGCCAGACAUUUUAUAAUUUCACCUGUAAAUAUUAUGUCUGUAUUUCUAAAAUAAAAGAACUCUUUUUAAAAAAACAUAAUACCAUUAUCAUUUCUAAAAAAAAUUACUGAAGAAUGUAAACAAACAAAACUAAUACUAGUACUUUAUAUCAUUGGGUAUACGGGUAUACAGUACAUUUAGCAAUUACGUUUUCCCAAUGUGUUAUUUGUUGUUGGUUGUUUGUUUGAAAUGGAAUCUAAAUUGGCCUAUAGACAGUAUUGAUUUGUUGCUGUGUUUCCUAACUCCCUUUUAAUCUCUUCCCCCCUUACCUUUGUCUCUUCCAGUUUGGUUGUUGUCAUUAGUAAUGUUGCUGUCACUGAAGAAACUGGAUGUUCGUUCUGUACAAUGUUAGAAUUUCCUGAUUGCAUCACUGUGGUGUUGUUUAACUUGUUCUUGUGUCUCCUCUAUUUCCUGAGAAUUUAUUUUAUCAGAAACGGGAGUUUUGUUGCUGUUGUUGCCUUGGGGAAGGUCAGCAUGACCAUUUCAUAGAUGGUGUUUUAUAUGUUCAUCAAGAAGCUUAUCAUGUCUUAUUAUCUAUUUUUGUGAUGUUAGCAACCAUCAAUGUUUAUUACCUAUAUCUAUUCAUUUAUUAGACCUGUCAAAGUGGCAGUAUUCUGAUUGUAUCUUUUUUUUCUUCAUUUUCUGAGUGAGAUGUUCUGGAAAGAGGACAGUUCAUACAGAAAAAAUAGUAGAAGCUAUGUGUUUUAUAUUCCCCUUCAUAUACCAAUUUUCUAAAUAAUGAGUUGUUCCCAGGGGCCAGGGAUGUAGCUCAGUGGCAUUGUGCUUGCCUCGAAAGCCCAAGGUCCUGAGUUUGAUCCCUGGUACUGGAAAAAAAAAAGAGUUAUUCCCUGUCAUCUUCCAAAGGUCAUGAAUGAAUGAAUGAAUUUACUUUUAUUUUAUCAUUAAUAUUAUUAAGGGAUUACUUGCUAAAUAUGUUUAUAUGUAGAUUGCAGUUAUAUUUAUUGAUAUCUAAAUUAUUCUGUCUUUGGUCAAUGGAAGCCAAAUCAAGUCAGCUCUAAACUACUUCUGAUAUGACCCUAAUUUCUUUUACAAGCUUCCUCCUUUCUGGUAUGUUUCAAGUUCAUCUUGUGUAUUUCCUGCUGCAGACCUGGAAUCAGCCAUUUCUCUUAGAAUUUCCAGGUUCCUUUCAAUGGGAAAUAUUGUUUAGAGACCACAAUCUGGGCAGUAAGUACACUCAUCGCUUCUCAGCUAGUUACUAUUUACAGUGGGCAAAGACAGAAUAUGUGUGUGUGUGAUUUUUUAAAGAAAUUGCAUGUCCAAUUCAAAUUCAGGAUAACCAUGGAUAUCCAUAAAGUGUCUUCUUUCUCCUGUGACGAAAAUCUCAAUUCUAAACAAUCCCAAUGUAAUUUCCAGUUUUCUCUAUUUCAUACUACACAAAAUCAACUUCAAAAUAAUUAGACAAAAACUAAAUUAACAAUAAACUAACUAUAACAGUUCAGUUUUUUUUCUUUGUCUUUCAGGUACAUCCCACUGCGGAUUAUUGUCAAAUUAAUGUAUUAUAGGAUCACUGAGAAUAGUUCCUCUGUGUGUGGCUACACCACCAACUGGUUACAUAGUUAAUUUCACUUACUUUGCUUUACAUUUUUAAUAGUUCCUUCUUAUAACUAUGAAAAUAUUUACCUGGUUGCAAAGUCAAAUAAAUCUACAAACAAGGUACAUUAAAAGCCUCAUUCUCUUUCUCUACAAUAUUAAAACAUGAUUUAUCCUCUUUCUUUUUAUAUGAGAAAAUAUCUCUACAUGCUUGUAUUCCUCUCCUCUUAGAGAAAUGACAGCAUACUAUAAACACUUCCUCCUCCUGUUUUCACUUAAUAGUACUUCUUAGUGGUAAAUACCAGUCUUUGAUUUGGGCUCUGGUUCACGGUACUUAAAUUUUCAGCAGAUAGCUGCAGGUUCUCACUCCUCUCUCACUCACGUGCCACAUGCGAACUGUCAUGGUUUAACUUCAGAAUCCAAGGCCUGACCCCUCUCACCACUCUCCUCUACCCUGCCAGAGCUGUCAGCUCUUACUGGAACCAUUGCAGUAGCUCCUCAUCACUGCUCUCCUUCAUCUACCCUCAGUGCCCUCAGGUCUGUUCUCAGCGAGUCAAAAGAGCCAAAGUCUUACUCACCUUUGGGAGCUCGCACCUCAUCCUUUUCUCUCCCCACUCCACUCUGGCCACACUUGCAAUGGCUAGUGGGCUCAUCCUCCUUGUAUCUGCAAUGCUCACUCUCUCGCCCCCUUCAAAUUGUUCUUCAAAGUAGCACCUUCACGGUGAACUUUACUCUUCCCCCUUCUAAAAUUGCAGCCUGACCCAUCCCCACCUCAGCUUUCCUUUGGCCUCCUCUAUUUUCCCAUACUACUUAUUACCUUCUGUCAUGCUGAAGAAUGGUUAUUGUCCAUUCAUUUAUUGUUCUCCACUGGAAUGUACAUUCUACAGGGUAUGGAUCUUUAUCUGUUUUGCUCACUAAUAGAUCCCCACUGCCUAGAAAAGUGCCUGGCACAUAAUAGGCACUUAGUAAAUAUUGUUGAAUGAAUGAAUAAAAACUUUCUUAACUUCAACUGAUAAAGUUACCAAACUGUGGCCUAGUGUUACAGGAAUAUUCAGAACCACAAUGACCAUCUGACCCAUAGGAGAACAAGGACCCUUUUCCAGUGACCAGAACAUUACUUCUUCCUCUGCCAUAUCCUGAGGCUCUGCAUAUGAGAGUUGAUGAGGGUCAUGUGAUACUUUUCUACUAUCACACAGCUGAAAGAUAAUAACAACUUACUAUUUAUAUGGUUUAUUAUGUUAAUGUAAGUUUUACAUAUACUAAUUAAGUCAUUUGAUCAAUAAAACAAUCCAGCAAAGACCGUUUUAUGAUUUUGCUCAUUUUAGAAAUGAAGCCACUGAAGCACAAAUAGAUUUUUUUUUAAUUGCUUAUAACUAAUAAUUUAUUUAUGGUAGAAUUAGGACCAGAAUCUCCAGGGAGUUUGGCUCUAGAACUCAUGCUUUCAAUUAGUACUAUCCAACAGGUUUUGGGCAAUGAUAGCAAUGUUCCCUAUCUGUACUGUUCAGUAUGGUGGCGCUAAAGCAGUGAUGGUGAACCUUUUAGAGACCAAGAGCCCAAACUGCAACCCAAAGUCCAUUUAUUUUUUGUAAAGUGCCAACACUGCAAUUAAACAUGAAUACUGAGAGUUUAGUUUAGAAAAAAAACACCUCAUACCCUUGGCUUGCAUUCCAACAGAGAGGGCUCUGUGUGUCCACUGCGGCACAUGUGCCAUAGGUUCACCACCACUGGCCUAGAGUCACAAGUGGCUGUUGAACAACUGUAAUGUGACUAAUUCAAGUGGAACUCAAUUUCUAAUUGUACUUAGUUUUAAUUUCAGUUUAAAUAAGAAUAUGUCAUUACUGUGUGGAAAGCUCAACUUUAAGCCAAUAUAGUCUUGUGCUUUUUAGGUAUGAUUGACAGAAUAUCAAAGAAGUUGUAUAAGGGUUUGUUGCAGUUGUUCUUCAAAUCCAAGGGUACAUCUUUGUGGGAUUCUAAGAAAUGGCUAGAGCCAAUGAACUUUAAGUCUCCCAGUGUCAUCUAUAACUUAUGGAACAUAUGGCUCUCUAAUUUCCAAGCAUUCUUAGAACAAAAAGAAAAACCAUAAAGAGUAUGUUGUCCAGAUACAUUAUGUUCCUUUUUGUUGAAAGAAAUAGAGGAUUAAAUUGUUCUGACUCUAAUUUGUCCUUAUUUAAGUGCAUACUUGUGAAGAUAAAAAUAAAGUUAAUCAUAAGAGGUAGAACAUGACAUUGCAGGUUCAAUUGAAAAUUGCAAGUUAUAUUUCUAUUGAUGUUUAAAUUAUAUUUUUUAUUUUUGAAAAAUAUAUAAACUAAUUUUUAAAAAAAGAUGGGAAAAGACUAGACAAAUUUUACCAUCUGGAAU
Long non-coding RNA from Heterocephalus glaber (naked mole-rat), 7626 nucleotides. The record is from Ensembl. NCBI's taxonomy places the organism in Eukaryota, Metazoa, Chordata, Mammalia, Rodentia, Bathyergidae.